This 246-nucleotide signal recognition particle RNA is filed under the name Desulfococcaceae bacterium HSG9. Its description in RNAcentral is "signal recognition particle sRNA large type". It matches the Rfam family "Bacterial large signal recognition particle RNA". Rfam says of the family: The signal recognition particle (SRP) is a universally conserved ribonucleoprotein involved in the co-translational targeting of proteins to membranes. Archaeal SRP consists of a 7S RNA and homologues of the eukaryotic SRP19 and SRP54 proteins. The record is from RNAcentral. Lineage: Bacteria; Pseudomonadati; Thermodesulfobacteriota; Desulfobacteria; Desulfobacterales; Desulfococcaceae.
UUGUACUAGGCGGGGAGUUAGCGGUGCCCUUAUCCCGAAAUCCGCUUAUGCGGGGCUGAAUUCCCUCCGGAGGGUUUUCCCCUGAUAAUUUGUGUGCCAUUCUAAUCGGUCGCCGCGCAACAAACGGUUACGAACCUCGUCAGGUCCGGAAGGAAGCAGCGAUAAGUAAUUCAGUUUGUGUCGUGGAUUGAUCCCGGUUACGUUUAUGGUGCCUGUUGUCAGGAAAAUUCGAUGGGGGGUGUACAA